This 482-nucleotide ribosomal RNA is filed under the name uncultured bacterium. Its description in RNAcentral is "partial 16S ribosomal RNA". It matches the Rfam family "Bacterial small subunit ribosomal RNA", at positions 30 to 507 of the family's 1533-position model. The record is from RNAcentral.
AUUGAACGCUGGCGGCAUGCUCUACACAUGCAAGUCGAACGGUAACAGGCCGCAAGGUGCUGACGAGUGGCGAACGGGUGAGUAAUGCAUCGGAACGUGCCCAGUCGUGGGGGAUAACUACUCGAAAGAGUAGCUAAUACCGCAUACGAUCUAUGGAUGAAAGCGGGGGACCGUAAGGCCUCGCGCGAUUGGAGCGGCCGAUGUCAGAUUAGGUAGUUGGUGGGGUAAAGGCUCACCAAGCCAACGAUCUGUAGCGGGUCUGAGAGGACGACCAGCCACACUGGAACUGAGACACGGCCAAGACUCCUACGGGAGGCAGCAGUGGGGAAUUUUGGACAAUGGGCGCAAGCCUGAUCCAGCAAUGCCGCGUGCAGGAAGAAGGCCUUCGGGUUGUAAACUGCUUUUGUACGGAACGAAACGGCUCUGGUUAAUACCCGGGGCUAAUGACGGUACCGUAAGAAUAAGCACCGGCUAACUACGUG